CCUACGGGGUGCAGCAGUGGGGAAUCUUCCGCAAUGGGCGCAAGCCUGACGGAGCAAUGCCGCGUGAACGAAGAAGGUCUUCGGAUUGUAAAGUUCUGUCCUUAUCGAAGAGAGAGUAUAUCGUGAAAAAUGAUAUACUAGGACGGUAGAUGAGGAGGAAGCCCCGGCUAACUACGUGCCAGCAGCCGCGGUAAUACGUAGGGGGCGCGCGUUGUCCGGAAUCACUGGGCGUAAAGGGCGCGUAGUCGGUAAUAUAAGUCAGAUGUGAAAGGUGGGGGCUCAACCCCUAGAGUGCAACUGAUACUGUAUAACUUGAGUGUGAGAGAGGGGAGCGGAAGUCCUAGUGGAGCGGGGAAAUGCGUAGAUAUUAGGAGGAAGACCAGUGGCGAAGGCGGCUUUCUGGCUCAUAACUGACGCUGAGGCGCGAAAGCGUGGGGAGCAAACAGGAUUAGAUACCCUUGUAGGC
This 466-nucleotide ribosomal RNA is filed under the name uncultured bacterium. RNAcentral describes it as "partial 16S ribosomal RNA". It matches the Rfam family "Bacterial small subunit ribosomal RNA", at positions 338 to 795 of the family's 1533-position model. The record is from RNAcentral.